CAAUGGCAGAUCGAAUCUUAUCAUGGCUAACGCCACCGAUGAAUGUUCAAACAUUAACCUCCACUUAUCAUGUGUGCUUAACAAGAGAGCCUCCACCUCAUGCAAGAUCUUAUGCUGUGGAGGAUUCCCACCAGCCCCGCCUUUGUGAGGUAAAAACCUGAGUAGACACGGAAACACAGAAACUGACAACAAAUGACCUAACAGCCGUAAAGCUGAAGGCGCAGGCAAGUUUCCCAACCACGAAGUCUCCACCUGACUAGGACAACCAUUGGCCCGACCACUUGGAUACCUCCCCACCUUUCUGGAACGAUCCUUCAUCCAGCUACACUGAGGUUCGCUUUCUCCUUUAGCAUUGCAUUCUCUCCUCAGCCUCAGAGACGGCUUAACCCUUUCCUCAGCAAGUCUCGCCUCUCCAGCUCUGUCACCUCAGGGUCCUCUCAACCCUGGUCUCUGGAUUGUCCCACCAUUGCCCUCGAGUCCUCCAUCCUGCGCUUCAAGUCGUCUCGGGCAGGAGACGCUCUAGCCUCGUCCCUCCCGCGCGCUCCCUCCCAGCGAGGCCCCGCCCCCAGGUCACCUGAUCAGCCCAAAGCUCCGCCCAUGGAACUGCCUUGAAGGGUCAGUUGCGAAGACCGAGCCGCUGGGUCCUCCCAGGCCUCGGGCAAAGCCGCGGAGCCGGCGAGCCUCUGCCGCAUGGGCGCCUCCUGGAAAGCGCUGAGGUGGCGCACGCGCGCGUCCCCACACCUCACAAGGGCCUGUGACCUCACCCGAUCCAACCGAGGCCGGUUGUGGACACCAUUGGGAGACUGUCCUCCGACUGCGGGCCCAGCUGCCUCCUGCUCAGCUCGCUGUCCUUCCCUGGUGCUCUCUGUCCCACUGUGGCCUGUCCCCAACUUCAGGACCUGAACCCACGCCAAGACUGGACCCUGGCGAUAGCUCAACCUGAAUUCCUCCUUGUCUACAUUGAGAUGAACAGCACAGACCUUAAAUAGAUGAAUACAGUUCAUAUUCUGCCA
Molecule: long non-coding RNA, 1013 nt
Organism: Peromyscus eremicus (cactus mouse)
Lineage: Eukaryota; Metazoa; Chordata; Mammalia; Rodentia; Cricetidae
Exons: 2
Source: RefSeq, a predicted model, not a curated record